CUAGCUAGCCUUGAUUUUCUAGGUAAGAUCAACACCAUCCAUUCCCCAUCCCCCACGCCUCCACACACCACACAUAUACAUUCACAUCUGAAGGUCAAUGUCAGGACUACUCAUGCUUCCCUCUUCCCUCACUUCUGAGAGACAGGUAAGAUCGAUAACAUCUAUAAAUACAAACUCAAUCCGGCACACAAGAGUCUCCUUCCUUGCCUUCCCUCACCAUUCCCCCCCCCCCUCCAACCCUUCAUCUCCUUUUAGUAUUGAAUCUGAAACAUUAUAUUUCGAAAUUGGAAUGUCUUUUACACACAGAGAUAUAUGUGAUGAUUCAGUAGUAGGGGGCUUGAGUAUCAUAUGUAUGCAUGGAUAGUAUAUCGGUGAGUGACUUCCAUGCUGACCCUCGUCAAAUGAACAGUGUCUUGCAGGUUAUAUCUCCAUCUCGUUGUCUGUUCGACCUUGAACUUUUAUAUAUAUCCCAUUUCUAGUCUCUCUCGUGUUUGUUUUCUACAGUUUACGGUAUAUAUAAGUAAUAAUGUCGUUAGGGAGUUGUUAAUGUCACUCCAAAUAGUUCUCAACGCUAAUUAAUAUAUAAUUAACCUUUUAAUUAAUGGAGUUUUAAUGAAACACUUUUGGUACUGUUCACUUUUAACGAAAAAAACAUUAUUACUCUAAAAAGUCAUUCUUGUUACUAUUCACUUACAACACUUUUUGUCAUUUUGAUUAAAAUUCAAAGUUUUCAAGUCAAUUUCUUUAGUUUUCUUUUUAAUUAACUAUUGAAACCCUUCUGAUCAUCUUCUCCAUCCAUGCCUUUUAACAUUGAUAAUUUCUUCAUAGUAUGAUAGUUAUUAGUUUAUAUAUUAACAUGAAGGAUUUGAGAAUAAAUUAGUGUCGAACUCGUCAUUCACGAAAUCGAAUUUAAAAUCUCUCACUUACAAGUGAAGAUAAAAAGAACUAUCACUAAAUUGUAGUCAUAAAGAUACCCACACACAUAUUAUAUUCAAUUUAUUAUCUUCGGAACUUACUUAAUUUGCAAAUUAUAGGUAUACAUUAUAUUGUUGAAUAAUUUUUUUUUUCUCACUCCCUUAUAGUAAUCACGUAUGCACUUUCAUUGUUCUUUAAUUUUUCAGUAAAAAAACAACGUGCAUAGUAAAUUUCGGUAAAAAAAAGAGUGCACAAUGAAUUUUUUAAAGCCGUAGUAAUUAUGUCAUUAUAAAUAAUGAAUCAAUAGAGAGAAAUUCUGGUGAUAAAUCAUAUUAAUCCCAAAGUAAAAAUUAGAGCUAAUUAGGAACUGAAAGCGGACCAAGGUCAAACUGGCAACAAAGUUGAGGUAUUAGUAAGAACCGUUUGCUUGACAAGGACUUUGUAUGGACAUCAACCCUCAUCAUUCCCGCGUUUCGUCGUUCAAAACCGAUUACCUCAUCAGCUGAAAGCAUAGCGAUGGCGACCCAGACUGCCUAUUCCAUUCACUGGCUGAAGCCUCAAAGAUCAAGGACCAGGGCUGCCUUCGACUAGCGACAAGUGGCCGGCCCUUUUUGUUUAAGUUGAAGCAGACAAAUAUAAUCAUGACAAAGGCCCACAUGGGUUCAAUUUUCUCUGUCACUGAAAUAAGACUGAAAAUAGAAAUAUUUUUAUCUUUUUUUUCACCGAAUUCUCUAUCUCUUGAUGUAAAUAUAUCGUUUUAUUCAAAAAAUAAUUUUAUUUACCAACA
Long non-coding RNA from Malus domestica (apple), 1702 nucleotides. RefSeq lists it as uncharacterized. The record is from RefSeq and is a predicted model, not a curated record. Lineage: Eukaryota; Viridiplantae; Streptophyta; Magnoliopsida; Rosales; Rosaceae.